This 1793-nucleotide ribosomal RNA is filed under the name Staphylococcus aureus. Its description in RNAcentral is "partial 23S ribosomal RNA". It matches the Rfam family "Bacterial large subunit ribosomal RNA", at positions 1 to 1791 of the family's 2925-position model. The record is from RNAcentral. Lineage: Bacteria; Bacillati; Bacillota; Bacilli; Caryophanales; Staphylococcaceae.
AGAUUAAGUUAUUAAGGGCGCACGGUGGAUGCCUUGGCACUAGAAGCCGAUGAAGGACGUUACUAACGACGAUAUGCUUUGGGGAGCUGUAAGUAAGCUUUGAUCCAGAGAUUUCCGAAUGGGGAAACCCAGCAUGAGUUAUGUCAUGUUAUCGAUAUGUGAAUACAUAGCAUAUCAGAAGGCACACCCGGAGAACUGAAACAUCUUAGUACCCGGAGGAAGAGAAAGAAAAUUCGAUUCCCUUAGUAGCGGCGAGCGAAACGGGAAGAGCCCAAACCAACAAGCUUGCUUGUUGGGGUUGUAGGACACUCUAUACGGAGUUACAAAGGACGACAUUAGACGAAUCAUCUGGAAAGAUGAAUCAAAGAAGGUAAUAAUCCUGUAGUCGAAAAUGUUGUCUCUCUUGAGUGGAUCCUGAGUACGACGGAGCACGUGAAAUUCCGUCGGAAUCUGGGAGGACCAUCUCCUAAGGCUAAAUACUCUCUAGUGACCGAUAGUGAACCAGUACCGUGAGGGAAAGGUGAAAAGCACCCCGGAAGGGGAGUGAAAUAGAACCUGAAACCGUGUGCUUACAAGUAGUCAGAGCCCGUUAAUGGGUGAUGGCGUGCCUUUUGUAGAAUGAACCGGCGAGUUACGAUUUGAUGCAAGGUUAAGCAGUAAAUGUGGAGCCGUAGCGAAAGCGAGUCUGAAUAGGGCGUUUAGUAUUUGGUCGUAGACCCGAAACCAGGUGAUCUACCCUUGGUCAGGUUGAAGUUCAGGUAACACUGAAUGGAGGACCGAACCGACUUACGUUGAAAAGUGAGCGGAUGAACUGAGGGUAGCGGAGAAAUUCCAAUCGAACCUGGAGAUAGCUGGUUCUCUCCGAAAUAGCUUUAGGGCUAGCCUCAAGUGAUGAUUAUUGGAGGUAGAGCACUGUUUGGACGAGGGGCCCCUCUCGGGUUACCGAAUUCAGACAAACUCCGAAUGCCAAUUAAUUUAACUUGGGAGUCAGAACAUGGGUGAUAAGGUCCGUGUUCGAAAGGGAAACAGCCCAGACCACCAGCUAAGGUCCCAAAAUAUAUGUUAAGUGGAAAAGGAUGUGGCGUUGCCCAGACAACUAGGAUGUUGGCUUAGAAGCAGCCAUCAUUUAAAGAGUGCGUAAUAGCUCACUAGUCGAGUGACACUGCGCCGAAAAUGUACCGGGGCUAAACAUAUUACCGAAGCUGUGGAUUGUCCUUUGGACAAUGGUAGGAGAGCGUUCUAAGGGCGUUGAAGCAUGAUCGUAAGGACAUGUGGAGCGCUUAGAAGUGAGAAUGCCGGUGUGAGUAGCGAAAGACGGGUGAGAAUCCCGUCCACCGAUUGACUAAGGUUUCCAGAGGAAGGCUCGUCCGCUCUGGGUUAGUCGGGUCCUAAGCUGAGGCCGACAGGCGUAGGCGAUGGAUAACAGGUUGAUAUUCCUGUACCACCUAUAAUCGUUUUAAUCGAUGGGGGGACGCAGUAGGAUAGGCGAAGCGUGCGAUUGGAUUGCACGUCUAAGCAGUAAGGCUGAGUAUUAGGCAAAUCCGGUACUCGUUAAGGCUGAGCUGUGAUGGGGAGAAGACAUUGUGUCUUCGAGUCGUUGAUUUCACACUGCCGAGAAAAGCCUCUAGAUAGAAAAUAGGUGCCCGUACCGCAAACCGACACAGGUAGUCAAGAUGAGAAUUCUAAGGUGAGCGAGCGAACUCUCGUUAAGGAACUCGGCAAAAUGACCCCGUAACUUCGGGAGAAGGGGUGCUCUUUAGGGUUAACGCCCAGAAGAGCCGCAGUGAAUAGGC